GGAGCUGAAGGAGAAGCAUCAAACAGCUGGCUGGGUCCCAUUCAGAAGUCGUGCUUUGCAGACUUUGUGAAAUUUGCCUGGCAGUUACCAGCGAGGUGAGCAACCUCUGCUCCAAGGUGUCCUACACUGCAAUCGUCACUCUUGGAGAGCUCUUUGCAACCUUGAAGAAGGACAUGGACUCCGAGGUGGAUGAGGUUGCUCAGGUCCUGCUCCCAGUGGUUUGGAAUUCUCCAGAGUUUGUUGAGAAAGCAGCCAAUCCCAGAGUUUGUUGAGAAAGCAGCCAAUCAGACCCUGGGGAUCAUGGUUGAGAACGAGCCGCUAUGUCCAGGUGCGGAAGUGUGCGGCCAAACUCCUCCUGUCCUUGAUGGGGAAAAUUGGAGUCACGAAGCUCGCAGACACACCCAGGGCUGAGACCCUGGCGCAGGUGGCAGGGAAGCUUGCUCAGGACUGUCACAAGGACACAAGGCAUUGUGGACAGGAGAUGGUGAAGAUGAUGCUAAGUCAUCCAAAAUUUAAAAGGCUUUUGGAGAAAUCUGUUUCUACCCGUGACCUGGAAGAUAUUCUGACAAGAAUUAAGAAGAAAGAGAUGGAAAGCCAGAAGGGUGAAGGCCCAUCAGUCAAGAUGCCGGUGAAGAAGAGCAGCGAUUCCUCGAAGAAGCCCCAGGCCACAUUGCCUUCUAGUAAACGUCUACCUCUGAGGGACGCCUCCUCCACCGUGCAAAAGCCCAGGUCACGUUACCUCCAUCUGUGGAAGAAACGGAGCCGCUCCAGAAGCUUUACGAUCUCCUGGAAGCCAAGGGGUUUCAGACACGGCUGGAAGGACUGGCAUUCCUUCUCGAGCUGUGCCAAACUCGCCCCCAGCUCAUCUCCACUAACAUUGUCCAAGUAUGUAGGGUAUCUUCAUUGUUCCUUUCCUUUAGCUCCUUCCCCAAGCCUGGAGCAGUGAAGUUCAUUCUGUGUGUCUUGGCACUACAUCCUGGCAGUUUGGGCCAGGCUGGUCCCUCUUACACAGACAAAUUUCAUUCAGAUCCAGGCUUCAGAACAAGUUCUUUCAGUCCAGCUGUAUUUGUUGGGCAGGUGCCUAUUGAUGCUGUUCAUCAGAUGAUGACAGAGUUUGCUGCUGCUGUAGCUGAUGCUCUCUCCUGCUCCCAGCUGGGUUAAGUGAAGGGAAUAGCAGCACUGAAAGCAUGGCAAUUAUUCUCUAAAUAAAACAUGGGUUUGGAUAGAGAAGA
Molecule: long non-coding RNA, 1232 nt
Filed under: Cyanistes caeruleus (blue tit)
Lineage: Eukaryota; Metazoa; Chordata; Aves; Passeriformes; Paridae
Description: lncRNA (ENSCCEG00000002943.1)
Source: RNAcentral